ACCCAGAGACCUGUUCGUCAGGCUACUAGUUGCCCAAGACCAGGGAAAACCUGCCAGAGGAGGCCCCAAAGCAAACUCCUGCUUUCAGAAGGUCUGCAGGUGGGCCAGCCUCUCUGGGCAUCUCUAGGUGGGCUUGUUCCAGGACCCCUGAGCUUUGAUCUCAGCCCUGAGAGCAGAGAAACACGGAAACAAGGAGAUUCUGGAACAGAAGCCAAGUGUUGACUUCUAUGGCCUCCUCUGGGGAGGUUGAAGAGGAGGCUCAUGGGAAGAAUGAAGAUGGGAGGAGGAACGACCUGCUUCUCAGCUGGAGGACUUUCAGGACUAAGCACUAGCAUGGACCAAGGAGUCUCAACUACAAACCACAUGACCUGAGUGCUGGGCCAC
RNAcentral lists this long non-coding RNA (384 nucleotides) under Rattus norvegicus (Norway rat). RNAcentral's name for it is "long non-coding RNA NONRATT003438". The record is from RNAcentral. Lineage: Eukaryota; Metazoa; Chordata; Mammalia; Rodentia; Muridae.